Molecule: long non-coding RNA, 320 nt
Organism: Nanorana parkeri
Lineage: Eukaryota; Metazoa; Chordata; Amphibia; Anura; Dicroglossidae
Exons: 3
Source: RefSeq, a predicted model, not a curated record
UAAUGCGGCCCGUACUGCAGAGGGCUAGGUGUGUGUGCAGACCCAGAGAGGAUGUGGGGGGAGGGAAGGAGGGAGAGAGGCCAAUACAUCACAGGAAGGAGGAUCUCCAGACACAGGGAAAAUAAGUCCAGCUCACAACACCCUGAAGACUGCACGUAACGGGAGAUCGGCCUGCUUCGAGGUCAAGCUGGCCUGGUUUGUAAGAAAUGUAUCGUCGAGGUGGAGACAGGGGGUGGCAUCAAGGACAUCAUAGAGAGAAUUUCCCCCGUAGAAAUCACCAGUCUGUUCCUUACAGAGGAGGCUACCAGGAUCAUCGGUAA